Long non-coding RNA from Lingula anatina, 677 nucleotides. RefSeq lists it as uncharacterized. The record is from RefSeq and is a predicted model, not a curated record. Lineage: Eukaryota; Metazoa; Brachiopoda; Lingulata; Lingulida; Lingulidae.
UCCACUGGAAAUGUUUAUUGCUUUCGUUUUCGUCGUGUUACUUGACGUCGUGGUUGAAUUUGACCAAAAGCACGAUCGAACCGAGGUCACUUAACAGUUAAAGAUAGCUUUUAAAGAAAGUAUACAGGGGAAUGGGGAAUAUAGAGUCGGAACCAAUUUACAGCAGAAAUGAUUUUGAACUGGUUAUACGAACCAGCAAAGAAUUGGAAUUUAUUCUAAAAGAACAGUUUAAUGCAACAGGAAAUGGGCUAGGUGAUCUCAUAGAGAGUGCUUGUACUCAUGCAGCCAGGCCACUGCCAUUGCCGUUAAAGAAUAAAAUGCAUCGCUUGAAGCGUGAGAGGAACAAGCUUAUUCACGAUAUCAACUACAACAACAUUCAAAAUAGAGAAAGUUUCAUCAGUGAUUUUGAGUCUGCUCGUCGGGAACUUAAGAAUUUGUUGCCUAGAAGCUACAGCAAUGAACCUAGUGGUUGUGGGGUUCAAUAAAUUAUUUAGUCCAAAUUAUGAAAAAAGUUUUCCCCCCAAUUUUGAACUACUGUCCUGACACAAACAUAGGAAGGCUUAUCAAAGAUCUCUGUAGUUUGAGAUAUCUAGUGAAAUGGUAAUAUUUCAAUUUAAAAAGAGGAAAGGAUCAUUUAAGCACUACAAUUGUAUCUGUCAGAGAGAGAGAGAGAGAGA